GCGGCCGUGGCCAAAUGGAUUAAGGCUCCUGACUACGGAUCAGGCGAUUGGGGGUUCGAGUCCCUCCGGCCGCGCCA
RNAcentral lists this transfer RNA (77 nucleotides) under Acidobacteriota bacterium. RNAcentral describes it as "tRNA-Arg". It matches the Rfam family "tRNA". Rfam says of the family: Transfer RNA (tRNA) molecules are approximately 80 nucleotides in length. Lineage: Bacteria; Pseudomonadati; Acidobacteriota. The record is from RNAcentral. RNAcentral also lists the same sequence under 2 other names.